This is a long non-coding RNA of Hypanus sabinus (Atlantic stingray), 3104 nucleotides long. RefSeq lists it as uncharacterized. NCBI's taxonomy places the organism in Eukaryota, Metazoa, Chordata, Chondrichthyes, Myliobatiformes, Dasyatidae. The record is from RefSeq and is a predicted model, not a curated record. The transcript is spliced from 3 exons.
AAAUUAUAUACAAUUACAAUUUCAAAUAUCACUCUUUCCUGGAGACAGCAGACCUGCAUUAUUAAUACACUUCUUAAAUUCAUACAAAGAAAUCUCUCCAUCAGUGAUACUAUCAUUGCUGCAGCUGACUUCCAGCACAUCAGAGUAUUCACUGAAAAACAUAUCCCUACAUUGUUUAAUUUCUUCACUUAAAUUAUCCUGAUUAUGAAUCUCAGCAAAUGACCCAGCCAGUAACACAACCUUCCCUGUUUCAGUAACAAUCAUUUUGCCCUCAAUAAUCAACACUGGAAUAUUAUGAUCCCCACAAAUCCCCCCAUUUUCUAAAUCAUAUCCCAAACAAUUCCAAGUUUGAUAUCCCUUCCAAUAUUAUCUCCAUAUAACCUCCAGUAAAUCACCUACUUCCUCACCACGGCCUUUGCCCUUUUAUUGUUGAUAAUGUCGCUCGGAGACUGAUGCACCAUCACAUAAAAACUCACAUUUCUCCCAAUUUGCUUCCUGUCCCGUUAUAAAUCCAAAUCCAAACUCAUAAAGACUGGAAGGCUGACUGACGUUCACAUAAACUAAUCACCCUCUGAGUUCCCACUUGAGCGACAGGCACUGCAGCCAAUGACAGCAGGGGUUAGUAUUAAGUUUGAGCUGCGAUAGGCUGAAGGAAAUCGGCCCAUGACCAGCCCCUCCUCUUCCGCUCCAUCGCCAUGCCGGAGAUCAGCGAGUCGCUUCUGUCGGUGUCGCCGGCCUCGGCGCCCACAAGGACGGGUGUGAUUCUCCUUCGCGCCUCGGUGGGUCUGUUUCGGUGACGUCGGUGGUGGCUGACGAAACAUGCUUUGACAGGGAGCGAGCGAGGACAAUGACCACAACUCCCACUGAUGACGUUGUGGUGGUGUUUUGGGCUUUCCCACCACAGAUGUAAGGCUCAAUGGUCUAUAAUUAUCGGGACUAUCCCUACUACCCUUUUUGAACAAGGGGACAACAUUCGCCUCCCUCCAAUACUCCGGUACAAUUUCCGUGGACAAUGAGGACAUAAUGAUCUUCGCCAGAGGCUCAGCAAUCUAUUUCCUUGCCUUGGAUGCAGAACUGGGAAGCGCAGAUGGAGUUCAACACAGAUAAAGAGGUUCAUUUCUGCAGGUCAAAUUUGAACAAAGAAUAUAAUAUUAAUGGUAAGACUCUUGGCAGUGUGGACGGUCAGAGAGAUCUUGGGGUCCAUGUCCAUGCGACACUCAAAGCUGCUGUGGAGGUUGGCAGUGUUGUUAGGAAGGGGUCUGGUGUGAUGCCCUUCAUCAACCGUGGGAUUGAGUUCAAGAGCUGUGAGGUGAUGUUGAAGCUAUAUUUCUCCAAACCUGUACAUAAGUAAUUGUACCCCAACACGGCAGGGCUAUGGGGUUAGUUGGACCCCACUUGGGAGUCCUGUGUUCAGUUCUGGUGGCCUCACUAAAGGAAGGAUGUGGGUACUAUAGAGAGUGUAGAGUAGAUUUACAAGGAUGUUGCUCUUGGAUUGGAGAGCAUGCCUUAUGAGAAUAGAUUGAGUGAACUUAGCCUUUCCUCCUUGGAGCGACGGAGGAUGAGAGGCUUUGACCAUGUGGAUAGCCAGAGGCAUUUUCCAAGGCUUGAAGUGCCUAACACGUGGGGACGUAGUUUUAGCUGCUUAGAAGUCGGUACUGAGGGAAUGUCAGGGGUAAGUUUCUUACACACAGAGUGGUGGGUGCGUGGAAUGCACUGCCGGCAGCGAUGGUGGAGGUGGAUACAACAGGAUAUUUUAAUAGACUCUUAGAUAGCGUCAUGGAGGUUAGAAACACAGAGGGCUAUAUGAUCGGGAAAUCCUAGGCAGCCUCUAGAGUAGGUUACAUGGUCGGUACAACAUUGUGGGCUGAAGAGCCUGUAAUGUGCUGUAGAUUUCUGUGUUCUGUGUCAAAGACAGGCAGAGGGAUUAGUUUAAAUGGACAGGAGGACAGCAUGAAAAGGUUGGGCCGAAAGGCCUGUGUUAGUGCCGUAAGUGACGGGUUCUGUCCCAACCAUCGACUCUAAUCCCCUCAACAGAUGCUGCCUGACAUGAUAACGUUCUUGAAAAGUUGCAUUCAGUUCCGCUUAGCACUCCGUACAAAGGUUGUUUUGUGCUGGAAGAGUGCAGAGGAGAUUCAUCAUGAUUGAGGGGGCUUCUGUUCAUAAGUCCAUAAGGCAUAGGAACAGAGUUAGGCCAUUCAGCCCAUUGAGUCAGCCACCUUUCCAUCAUGACUGAUCCCAGAUCGCACUCAAUUCCAGAUAUUUGACCUCCCGCCAUAUCCUUUGAUCCCCUGACCAAUCAGGAAACGAUCAACUUCCACCUUGAAUAUACCCACACACUCGGUCUCCACCGCAGUCUGUGGCAGAGCAUUCCACAGAUCCAAUACUCUUGGCUAAUUAAAAAAAUAAGCUGCUUACCUCUGUUUGAAAAGGUGGCCCCUUAACUUUGUGGCUGUGCCCCACCACAGGAAAUACCUUCUCCACAUCCACCUUAUCCAGUCCUUUCAACAUUCGGUAGGUUUCAAUGAGAUGCCCCGCAUUUUUCUGAGUUCCAGUGAGCACAGGGUCAAAGCUGCCAAGUGCUCCUCAUAUUUUAACCCCUUCAUUCCCUUAAUCAUCUUUCUGAACUUCCUCUGGACUCUGUCCAACACAUCAUGUCUGAGAUGUGGGGCCCAACACUGUUGACAAUACUGCAAGUGUGGCCUGACUAGAGUCUUAUAAAGCCUCAGCAUUAUCUCGUUGCUGUUAUAUUCAUGGGGCGAGAUUGGACUGUGUUGAUCUACAGGGGGAUCUUGGAAUCCGAGAUCAUAACUCCCAGAUAGUGGUUCCAUUGUCAGGCAGUUAUGUUGCAGUUGUAUAAAUCUCUAGUUUAUCCACAUCUGGAGAAUUGCAUUUGAAGACAGGAAUAAUGCGGAGGUUUUGGAUGGUGAGAGGGAGAGGCUUAACAGGAUGCUGCCUGGAUAAAGUGAGACCGGACAAUCUCGGGGAAUUUUCUCCGGAGUGGCAGAGGCUGAGGGAGGUCUGACAGACGUUUACAGGAAUGUGAGAGGCACAGACAGAGUGGGCAGCCGGGAUUUUUUCUCUAAGGAGGAAAUGUCCAAUGCCAG